AUACGGAGGGUGCAAGCGUUAAUCGGAAUUACUGGGCGUAAAGCGCACGCAGGCGGUCAAUUAAGUCAGAUGUGAAAGCCCCGAGCUUAACUUGGGAAUUGCAUCUGAAACUGGUUGGCUAGAGUCUUGUAGAGGGGGGUAGAAUUCCACGUGUAGCGGUGAAAUGCGUAGAGAUGUGGAGGAAUACCGGUGGCGAAGGCGGCCCCCUGGACAAAGACUGACGCUCAGGUGCGAAAGCGUGGGGAGCAAACAGGAUUAGAUACCCUGGUAGUCCACGCUGUUAACGAUGUCGAUUUAGAGGUUGUGGUCUUGAACCGUGGCUUCUGGAGCUAACGCGUUAAAUCGACCGCCUGGGGAGUACGGCCGCAAGGUUAAAACUCAAAUGCAGCUCCCAGGUUAAGCC
Molecule: ribosomal RNA, 403 nt
Filed under: uncultured bacterium
Lineage: Bacteria
Description: partial 16S ribosomal RNA
Rfam family: Bacterial small subunit ribosomal RNA
Source: RNAcentral